RNAcentral lists this long non-coding RNA (231 nucleotides) under Salvia miltiorrhiza (redroot sage). Its description in RNAcentral is "long non-coding RNA (SMIL_LNC002830)". The record is from RNAcentral. Lineage: Eukaryota; Viridiplantae; Streptophyta; Magnoliopsida; Lamiales; Lamiaceae.
CUGCCUCGGAGAACGACACCCCUUUCGGCGUGCGGUCACCGGGAAUUGAGCGGGAGAAAUUUGGGGCUUAGGGUUUCAGACGAGUAGGGGUUGCGGCUUGCUGUGGCUGCCGAAUUUCUGAGUCAACGACCUCCCUCUCCCUCUCUCAAUUCCCGCAACGCCGGCGCGAGGUCAGAGGUAAAAAUAAAAGAUCAGCCGCCGUCCACCAUUCACCGUCCACCUUGUUCUUCU